AACGAACCAACUCCCUCUUUAGUUGCUCGAAAUGAUAAAUGUUCCAAAACAUCAUCUCCAUCAGAGGUUUUACUCUCGAAUAAAUCAUUUUUCCAUAGCGGCGACGAAGACGAAACAUGUUUGCAAUAUAAUGAAAAGAGAUGUGGAAAAAUGAAUCAUCCAACACAUUUAUUUAUACAAAAAAAAUUACACAAUACACGGAGGCGCCAAACCAAUUGGCGUCUCCUCUCACUUUAUAUACAUGAGCGUCAAUUGGAUUGACAAU
This 265-nucleotide long non-coding RNA is filed under the name Lathyrus oleraceus (garden pea). RNAcentral describes it as "Pisum sativum (pea) long non-coding RNA (PSAT_LNC022374)". The record is from RNAcentral. Lineage: Eukaryota; Viridiplantae; Streptophyta; Magnoliopsida; Fabales; Fabaceae.